Molecule: transfer RNA, 63 nt
Filed under: Strombidium inclinatum
Lineage: Eukaryota; Ciliophora; Spirotrichea; Strombidiidae
Rfam family: tRNA
About the family: Transfer RNA (tRNA) molecules are approximately 80 nucleotides in length. Their secondary structure includes four short double-helical elements and three loops (D, anti-codon, and T loops).
Source: RNAcentral
UUUAGCUCAGUCGGUAGAGCGCUUGACUCUUAAUCAAGUGGUCGAGGGUUCGAGCCCCUCAGU